UGAAGGGGCUAGAUCAGAGGAGAAGUGGCAAUAAUCACCAUGGUGCAUUAGGAAGAUAAAUCCGGUAACACAGGAUGGAGUAGAGACCCCAGAACCAUACGGGGAGUUAGUUAAAAGAGAAAGGCACGUGUGAGACAAGGAGAGAUCAAUGGCUAAUAAAAGAGGUGCUGGAAGAACCAAGAGACAGCGUUGAAGGAAGAGUCAAAGUCCAGGGAACGAUAGGGAAUUGACUGAAAAAAAAAAAAAAAAGACAAAACAGGAUGUAUCCUAUGCUAAAAAAAUAAAUAAAAAAGAGAUAAACACAGAUUAUUCACUGUGCUUGGGUGCAUUGCCCAUCCCUUAAAGGUUAGGAAAGAAAACAGUAGCGUUUGGUUAUCUUUAGAGAGGGUUAAGGGUGGGGGGUAGGACAAGUGUGACUUUUCUCUGAAUACCUUUGUGCCUUUUGGCUUUUGAGCUAUGGGAACAUGUUACCAAUUAAAAACAUAAACAAAACUUUAGAAUUAUAUAUUUUAAAAAAGAAGCUAGGCUGCUCUUCUGAUGUGGUAUCCAUUCUACCAGCCCUAAGGGCAUUGGAAACCCUGAAGUACCUUUUGUCUUUUUUGUGGUUCAGUCAAAAUGUAAAUAAAGCAAUCAUCUGAAGACUUAGCUAUACAUACUGGUUUUCUCUUGUCUCGUGAAGCAGUGUCUGUCCUUAGGUGAGCACAAGUGCUGGAUAUUGGUACUGGGUCAUAUACCCAGGUGCCUGAAAGCUUUUAGGAGCUUUGUGACCCACACAGAACCGCACAUAACCAAAUCAUGGAUUCAGUGUGCUCGUUUGGCCUUCCAGCCCCACGCUGUCCAAUAGAACUAACUACAGGGAUAGAAAUGUUCUCUACCUGUAUUGUCCAAUAGGAUCCCCGCUAGCCACAUGCAGCCCUUGAAAUGUGGCUACUGGACUGAGGAACUGGAUUUUUAAUUUGUAUUCAAUUUUAAUUGAAAUAGCCACACAUGGCUAGUAGCAGCUACAUGGGGUCAGCAAUGAAGCACGGACCCCCGCCACCUUGCCCCUUUGCAUCUAUUCCACCUACACAUCAAGCUUCUGGUAGCCAGCAAACACACAUCUUGAACACUGCAUGACAGACUAGGGAACAUACCAGUGAUGCAAAGAUGAAUAAGACCCACUUCUAGAAAACUCACUCGCUGUUCAGUGGAAGAGACUCAACCGGAAGCCAAUGACAAUAAUGAAACACGAUGGGUGCUUUCUCCUGCAGUAGGAAACAGAGGGAGAAUUGAAGAAAAGUACCCAGAGAAAGUCACAUUCUGCUUAGAUUGGCUUCCCCCAAGAGCAGAUCCUGAGCAAGGAUUUGAGAGCCAAGAAUUUAAUUUGGAAAGUGCAGGCAACUCCAGUAGGGAACAGGGAAGUCAGACAGGAACGGGAAGAUGCCAGCAAAGGGUUCAUUAUGAAGUACCUUCCACUGGGGGUGACCGGAGCUCAACACCACUAGAAAACUCCUGGCGACAGUGUAAUCACACUCAGCAAUCCCACUGGAGGGGGAAGGAGGCUGGGAUAUUUGCAUUGUGCCCCUGUGAGUCAUUGGCUGAUGGUGGCUCCUGGGGGAUGUUAAUUCUCCGGGCACUUCUGGCAUGACUGGCUCUGGCAGAGAGGCCCGUCCAGCUUUGCGGAAAAGCUCCCGGGCGUCGCAACAUGGAUACUGGAUGUCGGAAGCCAGCUGGGCACACUCAGUGAAGGCUUGAGGGAGAACACAUUGGCUGCAUAUUUGAACAGAGGGCCAUGCCCAAGCCCGAGCCCAAAGCAAUGCGUAUGCCAAAAAAUGCGUGUGAAUAGAAGAGAACAGAGAAAAGCAGAAGAGCAGAACCUGCCCCUGUGAGAAACACCCCGAUUCAACAUACAGCUGCUUGCGGGGUGAAAACAGACAGUUGCUAGUGCAUGCGUGGGGUCUCUUAAUACCCAGAGGCCCCGGCUGCUAGUGGGUGCGGCCCUGUCUGUGUUCGGAAAUCUGACGAUCAGAACGGCAACUCCUCUGGCCCAGGACGAGGGAGAAUGGACGGAGCGCAUCCUAUGUUGUUCAGUCUGGAGGCUGUUCAUCUGUCAAACCCUGGCUGGUCACAUUUACUGAACAUCUACAUGGUCCUAGCCUUUAUGGAGUGUGGGGGUGGCAGGGGCAGUGAAAGGGAAGAAAAAACAAAGCCUUGGUUGCCGGCCACAAGAAGAUGACGCGUUACCUAGUCAAAGUGUGUUUAGGACAUCCUGGCCAAUGUGCUCGGAUCCACCCUGCGCCCUUCUCCACUCUCUGCCCUGCGCCCAAGAAGCUGCCCUGAAUGGAGGUGGCCAGCAUUCUAGCUUGCUCUCCGGAUUGAGCCCAUAGAGAGCCCCUGCAGGAGGUUGGAAGAGAGGGGGAGAGCGAGGUCUGAACCCAGCCCCUCCUGAGGCAGCACUGGGGGCCGGGUGCACCCCAACCAGCCUCGGUGGACCUCUCCAUAUUGUGUCCCUCACCCCUGACCCCUUUACAUCUGCUAACGAGCCCCACUGCUACUCAUCUUACUCAGGGGGGAUGCAGUCUCCUCUUACCCUGCUAUCACCUUUGUAAAUGGCCUCUUUAUUAAACUCUCCUCAAAUUGCCCAA
Long non-coding RNA from Callorhinus ursinus (northern fur seal), 2624 nucleotides. RefSeq lists it as uncharacterized. Lineage: Eukaryota; Metazoa; Chordata; Mammalia; Carnivora; Otariidae. The record is from RefSeq and is a predicted model, not a curated record.